This 468-nucleotide ribosomal RNA is filed under the name uncultured bacterium. RNAcentral's name for it is "bacterial SSU rRNA". It matches the Rfam family "Bacterial small subunit ribosomal RNA", at positions 29 to 524 of the family's 1533-position model. The record is from RNAcentral.
AACGAACGCUGGCGGCAUGCCUAACACAUGCAAGUCGAACGAGACCUUCGGGUCUAGUGGCGCACGGGUGCGUAACGCGUGGGAACCUGCCUUUAGGUUCGGAAUAACUCAGAGAAAUUUGAGCUAAUACCGGAUAAUGUCUUCGGACCAAAGAUUUAUCGCCUUUAGAUGGGCCCGCGUAAGAUUAGCUAGUUGGUGGGGUAAAGGCCUACCAAGGCGACGAUCUUUAGCUGGUCUGAGAGGAUGAUCAGCCACACUGGGACUGAGACACGGCCCAGACUCCUACGGGAGGCAGCAGUGGGAAUAUUGGACAAUGGGCGAAAGCCUGAUCCAGCAAUGCCGCGUGAGUGAUGAAGGCCUUAGGGUUGUAAACUGCUUUUAUCUGGGGAUAAAAAAGGCCUUGCGAGGCAAACUGAAGGUACCAGAUGAAUAAGCCACGGCUAACUACGUGCCAGCAGCCGCGGUAAU